AGCCUGAGAAAUAGCUACCACUUCUACGGAGGGCAGCAGGCGCGUAAAUUGCCCAAUGCCAAGAAAAAAUGAUGAGGCAGCGAAAAGAAAUAGGUUUCUCAGAUGCCUUACGGUAUUUGAGAUUUGCAAUGGGGGAUAUUUAAACCCAUCCAAUAUCGAGUAACAAUUGGAGGACAAGUCUGGUGCCAGCACCCGCGGUAAUUCCAGCUCCAAAAGCGUAUAUUAACGCUGUUGCUGUUAAAGGGUU
RNAcentral lists this ribosomal RNA (247 nucleotides) under Bodo sp. RNAcentral's name for it is "partial small subunit ribosomal RNA". It matches the Rfam family "Eukaryotic small subunit ribosomal RNA", at positions 393 to 628 of the family's 1831-position model. Lineage: Eukaryota; Euglenozoa; Kinetoplastea; Eubodonida; Bodonidae. The record is from RNAcentral.